Molecule: ribosomal RNA, 427 nt
Filed under: uncultured bacterium
Lineage: Bacteria
Description: bacterial SSU rRNA
Rfam family: Bacterial small subunit ribosomal RNA
Source: RNAcentral
UCGAGAAUCUUCCGCAAUGGACGAAAGUCUGACGGAGCGACGCCGCGUGAUUGAUGAAGUCCCUCUGGGACGUAAAAAUCUUUUAUGAGCUACUAAGUUUAUUGAAGAGCUCAUGAAUAAGGGGUUGCUAAACUCGUGCCAGCAGCAGCGGUAAUACGAGUGCCCCGAGCGUUAUCCGGAAUCAUUGGGCGUAAAGGGUGUGUAGGUGGUCGUGCUAGUCUUUCGUCAAAACCACGGGCUUAACCUGUGAUCUGCGAAAGAAACGACACGACUGGAGGGUGCGAGGGGUGAAUGGAACUCAUGGAGUAGGGGUGAAAUCCGUUGAUAUCAUGGGGAACACCAAAAGCGAAGGCAGUUCACUGGCGCAUUCCUGACACUGAAACACGAAAGCGUGGGUAGCGAAUGGGAUUAGAUACCCCCGUAGUCC